Molecule: long non-coding RNA, 333 nt
Organism: Lingula anatina
Lineage: Eukaryota; Metazoa; Brachiopoda; Lingulata; Lingulida; Lingulidae
Source: RefSeq, a predicted model, not a curated record
GUUUGCCAAGACAUCGGUGUUCCCGAUACACUGCGAAGGACACGGAUCUCUCCGGUGGGGUGACAUAAAUACGUGAAGACCUCUGCUUCGGGACAGAUACACCUACAAACUGCAUUGACAAGUUUGAUAGUGUUAGGACGCAUCUGCAGUCAUGAGGACCGUUCUCAUCUUUGCCCUGCUGGUAGCGGCAGCACAGUCUAUGAUAGUUUGCCCACCAAACUUCUGCAAGUCGGUUAAGUGCGAUUUGAGCGCCGUUCAGAACUGUGGCGGUAGAGUACAGCAGAAGGGAAGCAUGUGUGGUUGCUGCGAUGUCUGCAUCCAUCAACUGGGUAA